RNAcentral lists this ribosomal RNA (253 nucleotides) under uncultured bacterium. RNAcentral's name for it is "partial 16S ribosomal RNA". It matches the Rfam family "Bacterial small subunit ribosomal RNA", at positions 524 to 776 of the family's 1533-position model. The record is from RNAcentral.
UACGUAGGGGGCAAGCGUUGUCCGGAAUCAUUGGGCGUAAAGAGCGUGUAGGCGGCCUGGUAAGUCCGCUGUGAAAGUCCAGGGCUCAACCCUGGAAUGCCGGUGGAAACUGUCAGGCUCGAGUCCGGAAGAGGCGAGUGGAAUUCCUGGUGUAGCGGUGAAAUGCGCAGAUAUCGGGAGGAACACCGAUGGCGAAGGCAGAUCUCUGGGCCGUAACUGACGCUGAGGAGCGAAAGCGUGGGGAGCGAACAGG